GUGGGGGCAAAGUUUCAGUGCAUUCCGUUGAUGUAGACGGCGUGAAAACGGAAACAAGAAGUAUGCCGGCUCACUGUGCUGCAUACAGUUACACACUGCGUCGUACGAUUGAGACAAGGAAACUUGGAAUGACUUUUCAUAGGUUUCCCAGAGACUGUGGGUUGAGGAGGAAUUGGAAGUUUGUCGGCUUAGACCUGGUGUCAUUCCAUCAGUGUUAAACUUCCCGGCUCAUCUUGGAAGAGCACGUGCCAGAAAGACCACGACCAAGCAGCCUUGAGAUCUUAGGCAGCGUCUCCCUCAGGUCCCUCUCUAUCUCCCCACACAUCCACCAACCACUGGAACACAUCUCCAAAGUUCUGCUGGGCCAGCUCAGCUUCCCCUCAGAAGAAGUGCUGCCACCUGCCAGAUGAAGGAGCCUUUUGAGAGGCAGCUGGCAUCGUGAUUGGACUGUUCUUUGGUCUGUUCCAAUCCAGCUUCAGCUCCAGAGACGGCAGGCGGGACGAGUCAACGGAGGCCGGGUGGACGAAGGCAUGCAGCUGAGUACAAUCCAGAAAACAACAGAAGAGGAGUGCAGGGCCAGAACAAGCAGAGUAGCAUCGUAUGUCUCUUAGAAAACAUCAUAGUAUAGCCUUUGGUAUGAAAAAACGCCAUCAUAUACAUCGUAUAUUGUACAAAUAAGUCAAAGGAAAGAGACAUACAUUGUAAAAUUGUAGUAAUUGUGGGC
Molecule: long non-coding RNA, 724 nt
Organism: Amphiprion ocellaris (clown anemonefish)
Lineage: Eukaryota; Metazoa; Chordata; Actinopteri; Pomacentridae
Source: Ensembl